This 490-nucleotide ribosomal RNA is filed under the name uncultured bacterium. RNAcentral's name for it is "partial 16S ribosomal RNA". It matches the Rfam family "Bacterial small subunit ribosomal RNA", at positions 29 to 505 of the family's 1533-position model. The record is from RNAcentral.
AGUGAACGCUGGCGGUAGGCCUAACACAUGCCAGUCGAACGGCAGCACAGUAAGAGCUUGCUCUUACGGGUGGCGAGUGGCGGACGGGUGAGGAAUACAUCGGAAUCUACUUUUUCGUGGGGGAUAACGUAGGGAAACUUACGCUAAUACCGCAUACGACCUACGGGUGAAAGCAGGGGAUCUUCGGACCUUGCGCGAUUGAAUGAGCCGAUGUCGGAUUAGCUAGUUGGCGGGGUAAAGGCCCACCAAGGCGACGAUCCGUAGCUGGUCUGAGAGGAUGAUCAGCCACACUGGAACUGAGACACGGUCCAGACUCCUACGGGAGGCAGCAGUGGGGAAUAUGGGACAAUGGGCGCAAGCCUGAUCCAGCCAUACCGCGUGGGUGAAGAAGGCCUUCGGGUUGUAAAGCCCUUUUGUUGGGAAAGAAAAGCAGCAGGUUAAUACCCCGCUGUUCUGACGGUACCCAAAGAAUAAGCACCGGCUAACUUCG